This 578-nucleotide ribosomal RNA is filed under the name uncultured bacterium. Its description in RNAcentral is "bacterial SSU rRNA". It matches the Rfam family "Bacterial small subunit ribosomal RNA", at positions 338 to 917 of the family's 1533-position model. The record is from RNAcentral.
CCUAGGGAGGCAGCAGUGAGGAAUAUUGGUCAAUGGAGGCAACUCUGAACCAGCCAUGCCGCGUGAAGGAUGACGGCCCUAUGGGUUGUAAACUUCUUUUAUAGAGGAAGAAACUUGUCUACGUGUAGACAACUGACGGUACUCUACGAAUAAGGAUCGGCUAACUCCGUGCCAGCAGCCGCGGUAAUACGGAGGAUCCAAGCGUUAUCCGGAUUCAUUGGGUUUAAAGGGUCCGUAGGCGGGUCUUUAAGUCAGUGGUGAAAGCCGACAGCUCAACUGUCGAACUGCCAUUGAUACUGGAGACCUUGAGUACAAAUGAAGUAGGCGGAAUGAGUCAUGUAGCGGUGAAAUGCAUAGAUAUGACUCAGAACACCGAUUGCGAAGGCAGCUUACUAACAUGUAACUGACGCUGAGGGACGAAAGCGUGGGGAGCGAACAGGAUUAGAUACCCUGGUAGUCCACGCCGUAAACGAUCAUCACUCGCUGUUGGCGAUAUACUGUCAGCGGCCAAGCGAAAGUAUUAAGUGAUGCACCUGGGGAGUACGCCGGCAACGGUGAAACUCAAAGGAAUUGACGGA